This 253-nucleotide ribosomal RNA is filed under the name uncultured bacterium. RNAcentral's name for it is "partial 16S ribosomal RNA". It matches the Rfam family "Bacterial small subunit ribosomal RNA", at positions 524 to 776 of the family's 1533-position model. The record is from RNAcentral.
UACAGAGGGUGCGAGCGUUGUUCGGAAUUAUUGGGCGUAAAGGGCGCGUAGGCGGUGCGGUAAGUCACCUGUGAAAUCUCCUGGCUCAACUGGGAGCUUGCAGGCGAAACUGCCGUGCUGGAGUGUGGGAGAGGUGCGUGGAAUUCCUGGUGUAGCGGUGAAAUGCGUAGAUAUCAGGAGGAACACCUGUGGCGAAGGCAAUCCCCUGGGCCUGCACUGACGCUCAUGCACGAAAGCGUGGGGAGCAAACAGG